This 468-nucleotide ribosomal RNA is filed under the name uncultured bacterium. Its description in RNAcentral is "partial 16S ribosomal RNA". It matches the Rfam family "Bacterial small subunit ribosomal RNA", at positions 28 to 507 of the family's 1533-position model. The record is from RNAcentral.
GACGAACGCUGGCGGCGUGCUUAACACAUGCAAGUCAAACGGAAAGGCCCUGCUUUUGUGGGGUGCUCGAGUGGCGAACGGGUGAGUAACACGUGAGUAACCUGCCCUUGACUUUGGGAUAACUUCAGGAAACUGGGGCUAAUACCGGAUAGGAGCUCCUGCUGCAUGGUGGGGGUUGGAAAGUUUCGGCGGUUGGGGAUGGACUCGCGGCUUAUCAGCUUGUUGGUGGGGUAGUGGCUUACCAAGGCUUUGACGGGUAGCCGGCCUGAGAGGGUGACCGGCCACAUUGGGACUGAGAUACGGCCCAGACUCCUACGGGAGGCAGCAGUGGGGAAUAUUGCACAAUGGGCGGAAGCCUGAUGCAACAACGCCGCGUGCGGGAUGACGGCCUUCGGGUUGUAAACCGCUUUCGCCUGUGACGAAGCGUGAGUGACGGUAAUGGGUAAAGAAGCACCGGCUAACUACGUG